UGCUGCUUUGCUGACGAGUGGCGGACGGGUGAGUAAUGUCUGGGAAACUGCCUGAUGGAGGGGGAUAACUACUGGAAACGGUAGCUAAUACCGCAUAACGUCGCAAGACCAAAGAGGGGGACCUUCGGGCCUCUUGCCAUCGGAUGUGCCCAGAUGGGAUUAGCUAGUAGGUGGGGUAACGGCUCACCUAGGCGACGAUCCCUAGCUGGUCUGAGAGGAUGACCAGCCACACUGGAACUGAGACACGGUCCAGACUCCUGCGGGAGGCAGCAGUGGGGAAUAUUGCACAAUGGGCGCAAGCCUGAUGCAGCCAUGCCGCGUGUAUGAAGAAGGCCUUCGGGUUGUAAAGUACUUUCAGCGGGGAGGAAGGGAGUAAAGUUAAUACCUUUGCUCAUUGACGUUACCCGCAGAAGAAGCACCGGCUAACUCCGUGCCAGCAGCCGCGGUAAUACGGAGGGUGCAAGCGUUAAUCGGAAUUACUGGGCGUAAAGCGCACGCAGGCGGUUUGUUAAGUCAGAUGUGAAAUCCCCGGGCUCAACCUGGGAACUGCAUCUGAUACUGGCAAGCUUGAGUCUCGUAGAGGGGGGUAGAAUUCCAGGUGUAGCGGUGAAAUGCGUAGAGAUCUGGAGGAAUACCGGUGGCG
This 643-nucleotide ribosomal RNA is filed under the name uncultured bacterium. RNAcentral describes it as "bacterial SSU rRNA". It matches the Rfam family "Bacterial small subunit ribosomal RNA", at positions 78 to 717 of the family's 1533-position model. The record is from RNAcentral.